AGAGUUUGAUCCUGGCUCAGAGCGAACGCUGGCGGCGUGGUUUAGGCAUGCAAGUCGAGCGAAUUUUUCGGAUUGAAGUCUUGAAGCCGCAAGGCUGAUGGAUGGAUGACUGAAAAAUUAGCGGCAAACGGGUGAGUAACGCGUGGGUAAUCUGCCCUCGAGUGGGGGAUAACAACCCGAAAGGGUUGCUAAUACCGCAUAAGCCCACGACCUCGAAAGAGGUUGUGGGAGAAGCCGGGGAUCCGCAAGGACCUGGCGCUUGAGGAUGAGCCCGCGUCCCAUCAGCUUGUUGGUAGGGUAAUGGCCUACCAAGGCUAUGACGGGUAGCUGGCCUGAGAGGGUGGUCAGCCACACUGGGACUGAGACACUGCCCAGACUCCUACGGGAGGCUGCAGUCGAGAAUAUUUUCCAAUGGGCGAAAGCCUGAGAAUGCGACGCCGCGUGCGGGAUGAAGGCCUUCGGGUCGUAAACCGCUGUCGGGUGGGAAGAAUACCUGUCCUGUGAACAUCAGGAUCGGUUGACGGUACCACCGAAGGAAGCCACGGCCAACUCCGUGCCAGCAGCCGCGGUAAUACGGAGGUGGCGAGCGUUGCUCGGAUUCAUUGGGUGUAAAGGGUCGGUAGGCGGUUUGGUAAGUGCCCGGUGAAAUUCUACGGCUCAACCGUAGAACGUUCGGGUAGACUGCCGAACUUGAGAACUGGAGGGGCAGGCGGAAUUCCCGGUGUAAGGGUGAAAUCUGUAGAUAUCGGGAGGAACACCAGUGGCGAAGGCGGCCUGCUGGACAGUCUCUGACGCUGAGCGACGAAAGCGUGGGGAGCAAACAGGAUUAGAUACCCUGGUAGUCG
Molecule: ribosomal RNA, 845 nt
Filed under: uncultured bacterium
Lineage: Bacteria
Description: bacterial SSU rRNA
Rfam family: Bacterial small subunit ribosomal RNA
Source: RNAcentral